Molecule: non-coding RNA, 45 nt
Organism: Schistosoma margrebowiei
Lineage: Eukaryota; Metazoa; Platyhelminthes; Trematoda; Strigeidida; Schistosomatidae
Source: Rfam
AUCAAGAUGACGAGUUCCAAAUAGGACGAAACACUCGUCCUAGAU